Long non-coding RNA from Amphibalanus amphitrite, 677 nucleotides. RefSeq lists it as uncharacterized. The transcript has 3 exons. The record is from RefSeq and is a predicted model, not a curated record. NCBI's taxonomy places the organism in Eukaryota, Metazoa, Arthropoda, Thecostraca, Balanomorpha, Balanidae.
GAUGUAUCUUUCGUGCAGAUGUAUCAAGAUGUACCUUUCACUUAAGAUCCAUGCAGGCGCAAGCUCUGGAUGAACUUCUGCGGUGACGUCGGCAUUCUUACAGGAGAACCCAAGAUUCGCUGUACCUGUAUGCAUUUCAAAACUGAAGAAUUGAUAGCAACUAGUAAAUAUUUGAAGUUGCAGCCAAAUGCUGUGCCUUCUCUGCUGCAAGAACUACAUGUCACCAUUGAAGCAAGGACCAGCUCGACUCCUGCAGUAGGACUCCAGCCUCGCCCAGUCGUCGCCGCUCGCCAAGACCUGCCGGACUCCUGCAAUAGGGGUCCAGGGCCCAGGCUGACCCGUUCGUCCAGUAACCGCCGCUCGUCAGCACCAGCUGGGCUCCUGUAGUAGGGGUCCAGCCUCGUCCAGUCGCCGCCGCUCGCCAAGACCAGCUGGGCUCCUGUAGAAUGGGGCUAGGAUGACCCGUUCAUCAACCGGUCCUGAAGUCACAUCGCUGUCAGCCAGCCGAACUCAGUACAUAAGUCACCAACCCUGAAUGUUGCCAGCCAAAGUCGGCAGUUUCCUUCGGACAGUCAUCUCACCAGUGUUGUACAGUGUACAAGGUUAGUGACGCAGUUAAAUGCGUCAAUUAAAUGCGAGGACGUGCGCUUGUAUGCAGCGUUUUGUCAUGUUGAGCU